Molecule: long non-coding RNA, 1900 nt
Filed under: Gallus gallus (chicken)
Lineage: Eukaryota; Metazoa; Chordata; Aves; Galliformes; Phasianidae
Description: lncRNA (ENSGALG00010000990.1)
Source: RNAcentral
AUUGGUACUAAGUGGUUGCAUAGCUGUGACUAGGGCUAUGACACUACUAAAUCAAAUGCCAGCUUAUUACAAGACAUAAGGAAUCCAUUAAAGUGGCUCAAGCAUGAAUUUCAGCAUAGAAUUGUGGCUCUGCAGAUGGUGAAGAAUCCUAAGAAUGCAUCAGCAGGUAGCUAUAGCACAGAUGAGAGAAUGGGAGUGGACAGUCUAUGAACAGGAGCAAGAUUGAAGAGUCGCUAACUGCAGCAUUGAUAGGACAUGAGGAAGGCCAUAGGUUUUAAAUCAGAAGAUAACAGGCGAAAGCUAAUGACACUAGAAGUGAGAUUAACUGAGAUUAAUUUCUCCAACUUCCGUUUUGAGCAGAAUUAGAAUGCCUGAAGAAAUAGUAAAGAUGAAAAAAAGUGAAGUUGAGAUACGUUACUGGCAAGGACUGAUGGCUUAAGAAGAGAUGUCACUGAUUCUCACAAGCAAACAAAGGACAAAUGCUGACAGCUACCUUCACUUCAAUUGUUAACAAGCAAUUUCCAUCAGCUUUAGUGUGAAAUGGAUCAGCCAAUAUGAACGCAUAUUGUGAAUGACUCACCCUGUAUCAACUGUCUAUACAUGAGUAAAGCCACAUGUCCCCACACUGCUGAUAGUCUUUAUUAUGGGCUUUCUUUAAGACUCUUGCCAUCGGUUGCUGUUUUUCCACCAAAUCUGAAAGAUCCUUAGAAUGAGUCACAGAAGCAACUGCCCAGGCUUCACCAACUGCAAUCCAUUGGAUGCAGGCAGUUAACUGACAUCGGAGAAAGGGCCAAGAGAACCGGGUUUACUUAUCAUGGACACGAAAAGAUGGAUGGCAACUGUGCAGAAGAUAAAGCCAGGCUUUUCUCAGAGGUGCACUAAGAGAGAAUGACGCAACAGAUGCAACUGGAAAUUCUGCUGGAAAUACCUGGAUUAGCACUGGAAAAUGUUGUCUGUAGAACCUCCAGUGUAGGGGAUUUUCAAAACUCAGCUGAACAAGGUUGUGAACAACCUGAUCUACAGUUGAAGUUCACCCUGCUUUGAGCAGGAGGUUGAACUUGGUCUUGGUGGCUUUCAGAGGUCCCAGAGGGAUAUUUAUAAAUAAACAGCAGCAGAAUGACUAACACAUUAGAAAGAAGAGCUUUUGUUACAGACAACAUCGCUGCAAAUAAUAUUAUCUUCACACACUGAUAUAGUGCAAGUUACUUUAAACAAGUAUGACACUGUCAGACAUACAAGCCCAUUAAAACAUUCUGGAACUCUUGCUAGUACUGUUUGCUAAUAAUCUUGUACACUGGACUUAUUUCAACUCAUUAGAAGCUUUAUAAGCUUAUUUUUAUAAUAUUUAUAACUAUACUUCAUGGAAAAAAAAAUGGACUACACUUCUGGAAGAAAAAGAUAAUCUGAGAAUUAAUUAAAAAAUAAAUCUUUUUAACUAUUAAAAAAAAAAAAAAAAGAAGUUUAACAAAAGCUAAAGAAUGUCUUAAAGAUAGACCUUGAUCAAUCCUUCACUUCAGCUGUGUUAGGUCUCUUGACAAUAAUUUGCUUUAGUUCUGAUGAGAGGUCCAUCUAAAAGUGUGUGGGCAAGCUGAGUAGUUUAGAGACACUUCAGAUAUGUUCAGAAAUGUUCAUAACCAAAGCACAGGCUUUCAGGAUACUGUUCUGCCCUGGUAUCUCUGUUUAUUCAUUACAAGUGUGAGUAUGUUACCAAUGAAAUAUAACUAGUUCUGUGCAACACCUUAAACCACUUUUUUCAUCUUUGCUCAAAUUGUGUCCUCCUGAAAUUUUGAUACAGCGACUUUCUUCUCAUGUGGUAAAAGUUGUAUCAUAUAAUAUUAUCAAUUACAUUCCCAAAUUGUAACAAAAUGAAUUCUCGAUGUAUUACACAUCCAAUAAAAAG